UACAGAGGGUGCAAGCGUUAAUCGGAAUUACUGGGCGUAGAGCGCGCGUAGGCGGCCAAGUAAGCCGGUUGUGAAAGCCCCGGGCUCAACCUGGGAAUGGCAUCCGGAACUGUUUGGCUAGAGUGCAGAAGAGGAAGGUAGAAUUCCCGGUGUAGCGGUGAAAUGCGUAGAUAUGUGGAGGAACACCAGUGGCGAAGGCGGCCUUCUGGACUGACACUGACGCUGAGGCGCGAAAGCGUGGGUAGCAAACAGG
RNAcentral lists this unclassified non-coding RNA (253 nucleotides) under uncultured Halomonadaceae bacterium. RNAcentral's name for it is "contains 16S-23S intergenic spacer region". It matches the Rfam family "Bacterial small subunit ribosomal RNA", at positions 524 to 776 of the family's 1533-position model. The record is from RNAcentral. Lineage: Bacteria; Pseudomonadati; Pseudomonadota; Gammaproteobacteria; Oceanospirillales; Halomonadaceae.